AUGCUCACAAAGGCGCAACGGAUCACCUUGUCGAAAGAAAAGCAAGGUGGAUCCACGAGCAGUGGCAAUAAGAAGGGAAAAGGGAAGCAACACUCAGCGAGAAAGAACUUCACCUACUCGGACGACGAGGAUGCGGCGGCACCACCGAGGAGGAAGUUUGUUGUCAAUAAAGCGAGGUGUCAUAAAUGUGGCAUCCUCGGUCACUUCUAGGCUAACUGUGAAGAAGCACCGAAGCAGUAGGCACUCGUAGCUGAGGAUGGAGACGAUGGGGGUGUGAUGCUGAUGUGUGAG
Molecule: ribosomal RNA, 291 nt
Filed under: Triticum aestivum (bread wheat)
Lineage: Eukaryota; Viridiplantae; Streptophyta; Magnoliopsida; Poales; Poaceae
Description: partial small subunit ribosomal RNA
Source: RNAcentral